Molecule: ribosomal RNA, 497 nt
Filed under: uncultured bacterium
Lineage: Bacteria
Description: partial 16S ribosomal RNA
Rfam family: Bacterial small subunit ribosomal RNA
Source: RNAcentral
GAUGAACGCUGGCGGCGUGCCUAAUACAUGCAAGUCGAGCGAACAGAUAAGGAGCUUGCUCCUUUGACGUUAGCGGCGGACGGGUGAGUAACACGUGGGUAACCUACCUAUAAGACUGGGAUAACUUCGGGAAACCGGAGCUAAUACCGGAUAACAUUUGGAACCGCAUGGUUCUAAAGUGAAAGAUGGUUUUGCUAUCACUUAUAGAUGGACCCGCGCCGUAUUAGCUAGUUGGUAAGGUAACGGCUUACCAAGGCAACGAUACGUAGCCGACCUGAGAGGGUGAUCGGCCACACUGGAACGGAGCCACGGUCCAGACUCCUACGGGAGGCAGCAGUAGGGAAUCUUCCGCAAUGGGCGAAAGCCUGACGGAGCAACGCCGCGUGAGUGAUGAAGGGUUUCGGCUCGUAAAACUCUGUUAUUAGGGAAGAACAAACGUGUAAGUAACUGUGCACGUCUUGACGGUACCUAAUCAGAAAGCCACGGCUAACUACGUG